CUCCCUCCCUCUCUCUCCCUUUCUCUCCUUGUCCCUCUCUGUCCCUCUCUCACGCUGUCCCUCUCUCUCACGCUGUCCCUCUCUCUCCCUCUCUCACGCUGUCCCUCUCUCUCACACGGUCUCUCCCUCCCUCUCUCUCCCUUUCUCACACUGUCCCUCUCUCUCACGCUGUCCCGCUCUCUCCCUCUCACGCUGUCCCUCUCUCUCACGCUGUCUCUCUCCAUUUCUCACGCUGUCCCUCUCUCUCACGCUUUCCUUCUCUCCCUCCCUCUCUCACGCUGUCCCUCUCUCUCCCUCGCUCACGCUGUCCCUCUCUCACGCUGUCCCUCGCUCUCACGCUGUCCCUCUCUCACGCUGUCCCUCGCUCUCACGCUGUCCCUCUCUCACGCUGUCCCUCGCUCUCACGCUGUCCCUCUCUCACGCUGUCCCUCGCUCUCACGCUGUCCCACGCUGUCUCACACGGUCUCUCCCUCCCUCUCUCUCCCUUUCUCACACUGUCCCUCUCUCUCACGCUGUCCCGCUCUCUCCCUCUCACGCUGUCCCUCUCUCUCACGCUGUCUCUCUCCAUUUCUCACGCUGUCCCUCUCUCUCACGCUGUCCUUCUCUCCCUCCCUCUCUCACGCUGUCCCUCUCUCUCCCUCGCUCACGCUGUCCCUCUCUCACGCUGUCCCUCGCUCUCACGCUGUCCCUCUCUCACGCUGUCCCUCGCUCUCACGCUGUCCCUCUCUCACGCUGUCCCUCGCUCUCACGCUGUCCCUCUCUCACGCUGUCCCUCGCUCUCACGCUGUCCCUCUCUCUCACGUUGUCCCUCUCUCUCACGUUGUCCCUCUCUCUCACUUUGUCCCUCUCUCUCACGCUGUCUCUCUUUCCCUCCCUCUCUCACGCUGUCUCUCUCUCUCACGCGUUCUCUCUCUCACGCUGUCUCUCCCUCCCUCCCUCUCUCUCCCUCUCUCACGCUGUCCCUCUCUCUCACGCUGUCUCUUUCUCCCUCCCUCUCUCUCCCUCUCUCUCACGCUGUCUCUCCCUCCCUCCCUCUCUCUCCCUCUCUCACGCUGUCCCUCUCUCUCACGCGUUCUCUCUCUCACGCUGUCUCUCCCUCCCUCCCUCUCUCUCCCUCUCUCACGCUGUCCCUCUCUCUCACGCUGUCUCUUUCUCCCUCCCUCUCUCUCCCUCUCUCUCACGCUGUCUCUCCCUCCCUCCCUCUCUCUCCCUCUCUCACGCUGUCCCUCUCUCUCACGCUGUCUCUCUCUCCCUCCCUCUCUCUCCCUUUCUCACGCUGUCCCUCUCUCACGCUGUCUCUCUCUCCCUCCCUCUCUCUCCCUUUCUCACGCUGUCUCUCUCUCCCUCUCUCACGCUGUCCCUCGCUCUCACGCUGUCCCUCUCUCUCCCUCUCUCACGCUGUCCCUCUCUCUCACGCGGUCUCUCCCUCUCUCUCACGCUGUCUCUCUCCCUCUCUCUCACGCUGUCCCUCCGUCCUUCACACUCUCUGGUUUGUCUUUCCUUCUCCAUGGUGAAUUUUAGUAAAUGUUAUUUAAUAAGUUACUUGUAAAUCCAGUUGUUGGUCUUUGUCGAAUCCCAAACAUAAUCUGUCUGAAAAUCUGUUCAAGUCAGUUCUAAUGUAAUAAUUGGUUAUUAAUGACCUCCAUAUCUGGGCGUAGCCUAGUGGUUAGAGCUUUGGACUAGUAACCGAAAGGUUGCAAGAUCGAAUCUCCGAGCUGACACAGUAUAAAUCUGUUGUUCUGCCCCUGAACAAGGCAGUUAUCCCACUGUUCCUAGGCCCUCAUUGAAAAUUAGUUUUUUUCUUAACUGACUUGCCUAGUUAAAUAAAGGUAAAAUAAAAUAUCCUGCCAUUGGGGUUGGAACUGGUCUGUGUUUCUCUCUUCCUGAAUUUUACUUCCCCCUCUCUGUCUGUGGCUCUGUCCUCCAACUCUCGCUCUCUCUGUCUCUCUCCCUCUCUGUCUCUCCCCCCCUUUAAGUCUUGGUAAAGAGCAGCCCUCUGCAUCUCUUCAUAACAGAGAUGAAUGAGAUGAUGAAUGAGAAGUGAGGUGUAAUGGCAGACUGGAACCAUGUAGAUAACCAAGACUGUAGAUGUCUCAUGUAAUCCAAUCUGUUAAAGCUAUGGAUGUUGUGUCACUAAACCACCACAGUCUGGUGCCCAGUCUAACAUCUCUACCUCAUGUAGAUCUGAGAGGAUUGGAUGGUUGUUCAACUCUACUGAAUCAUCCAUAAGGCGACUGUAGGUGGCGCUAUUCCCAUGUUUCUUAAACCCAUCAUGUCCUUUAACAGCAACACAAAAAGGGGGGUGAUUUUGGAACGGCCAACAUUCUACACCUUGGCCUAAAACAGGAAGCAGAAUGUUGGAUUUCCUGAGCCGUGUAAAAUGGAGCACUUGUUACCAUGAGUGUUAUUUAAGGUUGCAACUGCGAUUUGGUAUUUUAUUAUUCUAUGGUACAAGUUUCAGCGGUUCUGCUAAGACACUCGCUCCGAGGGGACUCGUUUCAGACUUUCUCUCACACACACACACACACACACACACACACACACACACACACACACACACACACACACAACACACACACAAAUGUCACCUGUUCGCAUGACUGUGUUUUUGAUUUCAGGAGGUUUGGGGUCAAUUCCACCUCUACUCCGUCAUUUCAGGAAGGUAACUAAAUUUCAACUUGUUCUCUGAAUUGAAAUGGACUUGACCCCAACCCUGAUUAACUUACCUGCAGAGCUCAAAGGGGGAUAUAUUUUAAGGUCUUUUUAUUUGUUCACUAUCAACUUAUGAUUCCUUCACCUUUUUGUAUCAUUCCAUCUCUAAAUACGUGUAAAAGAAGUUAAAGAUCCUUUUAAAGAUGUUAAAUGAUUUAUUUGUUGUUGAUGUUUGUGUACUAUUCAUUUCUUCACAACUAUGGGAAGUCAAAAUGGUGUUUAUGUUGAAAUAUAUCCUCAAACACCGACCCCCACUUCUCUUUUUCUGACUCUUCUCUGCAUCAGUGGUCAUGUCUUAGCAGUUUCCUCAAAUUAAAACCAAACUGUUGGAGGUAUCGUGGACGUGGGGUGUCCUCAAUGUUCUGCAGCUUAUUAUUUCUAAAAUAAUAAUUUGAAAAUUAUAAUUAUGCAAAAAAGUGUAAAUUCCUCGUCUUCCAAAAGACUUGGAUCCCUGGAGCGAGUUUAGGAACAACCCCCCUUGAAGUUUGGGAUCCAGUUUGCACAAACAAUGGUAACAUUACCCUACAGUUGUGGCAAACCAUGGCACAACGUUUUCUCAACGUUGCGUGAACUGAAUUGUUUGUUAGCUAUUGGUUCAGCGUUGCAGACCCAUGUCAGGCUUGUGAUAUGAAGUGUAAAUCUGUUUUUUAUUUUUUUAAGUUUAUUUUUUAUUUUUUUUGAAGAUCAGAUAGUGAUCUUUGUACCAUAACUAAGUCACGUUUGUAAUUGUAUAAUAUUUACUGUGAGAUGUAGGCCAUUGAAUAAUUAUUAAACAUUUCCUAUAAAAGGAAUUCUGUCUUAGUCUCUCCUUUCUGAGUGGAAGUUUUUCUGUUCUGUUGAAUAUAGGUGUGUAUUACGAGCAAACGUAUGACUAACGAUAGUGAUGGAUGAAUGGAGAUGUGGGUGGGUACUAUAAGGAGUGGUUACUUUAGAAUAGCUUUAAGUCAUAGUAGUGGUAGUGAGCUGGGUGCCAUCCGUAGCCUCUGACUAGUGAUGGUUUAAGCCUAUAGAUUUCAGUUAGGUCCCAUUGCCUUGAGCACAUAUUGUAGAGCUCAUGCUGCUGAUACUACAGACAGUGAAAGUGUGUUUGUGUAGAAGUAACUGAUUGAGAAAGAGACGCCUUGUCUGUCUUUCACUUCUCCCUCCAAGCCCCCUGGCAGGCUUUAUAGGUAGUUGAGCAAUACACACCACUCCCUAUACAUACACAUACACACACACACUGAUGACACAAGUGGGGAGUCCAGCCAACAGAGUUGCAGAAAUCCAAACAGGAUAUGACAAGUGCCUGGAUUAGGACCUGAUGAACCCCAAGGGUCUCUGUCAGCGCUGUCAUCAACCCCAGACUAAUGGAGGAGUGAAGCUGAGAGCCCAGACCGCUGGAGGAGUGAAGCUGAGAGCCCAGACCGCUGGAGGAGUGAAGCUGAGAGCCCAGACUAAUGGAGGAGUGAAGCUGAGAGCCCAGACCGCUGGAGGAGUGAAGCUGAGAGCCCAGACCGCUGGAGGAGUGAAGCUGAGAGCCCAGACUGCUGGAGGAGUGAAGCUGAGAGCCCAGACCGCUGGAGGAGUGAAGCUGAGAGCCCAGACCGCUGGAGGAGUUAAGCUGAGAGCCCAGACCGCUGGAGGAGUGAAGCUGAGACACCGAUCCAGAGAGGCGUCAGACAUCUGAUCUAGGCCUGUCUCAAAACGUUUUCAGUGUCAGUACAUCUACGACCAAUGUCCAGAAAUGGAAUGAAUGUCCGUGAAUGAAAGGUUUCAUUUCCAAUCAGAAGAGUAGAUGAUCAGUGUAGACAUUUCCGCUGCAG
This is a long non-coding RNA of Oncorhynchus tshawytscha (Chinook salmon), 4514 nucleotides long. The record is from Ensembl. Lineage: Eukaryota; Metazoa; Chordata; Actinopteri; Salmoniformes; Salmonidae.